CUGAGGCAGCUUACACAUGCAAGUCGAGCGCACUCUUCGGAGUGAGCGGCGGACGGGUUAGUAACGCGUGGGAACGUGCCCUUCUCUAAGGAAUAGCCACUGGAAACGGUGAGUAAUACCUUAUACGCCCUUCGGGGGAAAGAUUUAUCGGAGAAGGAUCGGCCCGCGUUAGAUUAGAUAGUUGGUGGGGUAAUGGCCUACCAAGUCUACGAUCUAUAGCUGGUUUUAGAGGAUGAUCAGCAACACUGGGACUGAGACACGGCCCAGACUCCUACGGGAGGCAGCAGUGGGGAAUCUUGGACAAUGGGCGCAAGCCUGAUCCAGCCAUGCCGCGUGAGUGAUGAAGGCCUUAGGGUCGUAAAGCUCUUUCGCCAGAGAUGAUAAUGACAGUAUCUGGUAAAGAAACCCCGGCUAACUCCGUGCCAGCAGCCGCGGUAAUACGGAGGGGGUUAGCGUUGUUCGGAAUUACUGGGCGUAAAGCGCACGUAGGCGGAUCAGAAAGUAUAGGGUGAAAUCCCAGGGCUCAACCCUGGAACUGCCUUGUAAACUCCUGGUCUUGAGUUCGAGAGAGGUGAGUGGAAUUCCGAGUGUAGAGGUGAAAUUCGUAGAUAUUCGGAGGAACACCAGUGGCGAAGGCGGCUCACUGGCUCGAUACUGACGCUGAGGUGCGAAAGUGUGGGGAGCAAACAGGAUUAGAUACCCUGGUAGUC
RNAcentral lists this ribosomal RNA (710 nucleotides) under Phaeobacter sp. RNAcentral describes it as "bacterial SSU rRNA". It matches the Rfam family "Bacterial small subunit ribosomal RNA", at positions 36 to 795 of the family's 1533-position model. Lineage: Bacteria; Pseudomonadati; Pseudomonadota; Alphaproteobacteria; Rhodobacterales; Roseobacteraceae. The record is from RNAcentral.